UCUUCUUCCUCUUCUUCUUUGUCUCACUGUCGGUGGACUCGUUUCUUUUGUCUCUCUGUAGCCUUUCUAACAGUCACGGCAAUUGCUGUGUCGCUUUCCUUUCUUGUAAGCUAAUUUCUCUAUUAUAUCACUGUACAUUCAUUUACAGCUAUACUACACCUAUCUCUCUUUAUAUACAUAUACCACACACAAACACAGAGAAAGAGAGAGGGGUAGUUGUUUAGCCUGCAUUGCUUUGCUUAUCUGGGUUGGAGUUCAAUCGGAUCACUUCUCUCUUUAUCAUCGAUCUCUGAUUCCACCGCUAUUGCUUUCAAAGCGUAAAGGGGGAAUCUUUUUUGUAACAUUGUGUGUUUAAGUUUAAGCAUGCAUAAAAAUUGUUGAGACUGAAGAUUAAACCGUCAUCUCUAUCCAUUGUUCACAUCUGGCAAAGAAGAGCAGGUGCCAAUGGAAUCUGAAGGUGAAACUGGGGCAAAACCGAUGAAGAAUGUGGGUGGACAGGUUUGCCAGAUCUGCAGUGAUAAUGUUGGCAAAACUGUGGAUGGUGAUCCAUUUGUUGCUUGCGAUGUUUGUGCAUUUCCAGUGUGCAGGCCUUGCUAUGAAUACGAGAGGAAGGAUGGGAGUCAGUCUUGCCCUCAAUGCAAGACCAGAUACAAGAGGCAGAAAGGUAGCCCUGCCAUUCUUGCUGAUAGAGACGAAGAUGGUGAUGCAGAUAAUGGCACCAGUGAUUUCAAUUACUCUUCAGAAACUCAAAACCACAAGCAGAAGAUUGCAGAACGCAUGUUGAGCUGGCAGAUGGCUUACGGACAAGGCGAGGAUGUUGAAGCUCCAAAUUAUGAUAAAGAGGUUUCUCAUAACCAUAUGCCUCUUCUCACCAAUGGACAUGAGGUUUCUGGAGAGCUGUCUGCUGCAUCACCCGAACAUAUUUCUAUGGCAUCUCCUGGAGUUGCUGGUGGGAAGAGCAUCCAUUCUCUUCCUUACACAGCUGAUGUCAAUCAAUCACGUAACUGUUCUUUCUCAUGGAAUAUGUUCUGUCUGUUUUUUUCUGGUCAUAUGUGAUAUUGGUUCUAGGUCUUGGUUGCAUUCAUUUUGCAGCUAAUGUGAGGGUGGAUCCUGUGAGGGAGUUUGGUUCUUCAGGAUUGGGCAAUGUGGCUUGGAAAGAGAGAGUUGAUGGCUGGAAGAUGAAGCAGGAGAAGAAUGUUGUUCCUAUGAGCACUGGCCAAGCUCCUUCUGAAAGGGGCAUUGGAGAUAUCGAUGCCAGCACUGAUGUGCUUGUGGAUGAGUCUUUAUUGAAUGAUGAAGCUCGACAACCUCUUUCCAGGAAGGUUUCUAUUCCUUCAUCUAGGAUUAAUCCAUACAGGAUGAUCAUUGUUUUGCGGCUGAUUAUCCUCUGCAUUUUCUUGCACUACCGAAUAACAAAUCCUGUGUCUAAUGCAUAUGCUUUGUGGUUACUAUCUGUGAUAUGUGAGAUAUGGUUUGCUAUCUCCUGGAUUUUGGAUCAGUUCCCUAAGUGGCUGCCUGUAAACCGUGAAACAUAUCUUGACAGGCUUGCUUUAAGAUAUGAUCGUGAAGGAGAACCAUCACAAUUAGCUGCUGUUGACAUUUUUGUCAGUACUGUGGACCCAUUAAAGGAGCCUCCCCUUGUGACUGCAAAUACUGUGCUCUCUAUUCUUGCUGUUGAUUACCCAGUUGACAAGGUCUCUUGUUAUGUCUCUGAUGAUGGUGCUGCUAUGUUGACAUUUGAAGCCUUAUCCGAGACUUCAGAGUUUGCAAGGAAAUGGGUACCUUUUUGCAAGAAAUAUCACAUUGAGCCAAGGGCUCCAGAAUGGUACUUUGCACAAAAGAUUGACUACUUGAAGGAUAAAGUGCAAACAUCAUUUGUAAAAGAUCGAAGAGCAAUGAAGAGAGAAUAUGAACAAUUCAAAGUUCGA
RNAcentral lists this unclassified non-coding RNA (1928 nucleotides) under Hevea brasiliensis (rubber tree). Lineage: Eukaryota; Viridiplantae; Streptophyta; Magnoliopsida; Malpighiales; Euphorbiaceae. The record is from RNAcentral.